This 73-nucleotide transfer RNA is filed under the name Felis catus (domestic cat). It matches the Rfam family "tRNA". From Rfam's summary of the family: Transfer RNA (tRNA) molecules are approximately 80 nucleotides in length. RNAcentral also lists the same sequence under 2 other names. Lineage: Eukaryota; Metazoa; Chordata; Mammalia; Carnivora; Felidae. The record is from Rfam by way of RNAcentral.
GCCUGGCAGGCUCAGUCAGUAGAGCGUAUGACUCUUGAUCUCAGGGUCAUGAGUUCAAGCCCCAUGUUGGGCA